Pelobates cultripes (western spadefoot toad) is the source of this 486-nucleotide non-coding RNA. The record is from the annotation of a GenBank genome assembly. NCBI's taxonomy places the organism in Eukaryota, Metazoa, Chordata, Amphibia, Anura, Pelobatidae.
CACCAUAAUACUUGCAUAGUUGUGAUUUCUGUGGGAAAAGCAAGUCUUAUGGUUUGACUGGUGUGCAGAUUUUUGUUUAACAUUCUAUUAACUAUCCACAGACUUCAGGUGGAAGGGGUUUUCAAGCACACUUUUUCCCCACCAUAACCUUUUUGGAUUUUGCUUCCCAAGCACCACCAAGCCUCAAUAGCAAACCAGUAACCAACCUGCUGAUGAGUUGCAUUAACAAUGAAACAGCUGUCCAUGAGUGGUUCACUGGCUUUGCAUCUUUUUCUAAGUUGUGUUUCAAAGCUGUUCUAUACAGCAAACACAGACUCAAAGGAAUCCAUGUUUAAAAUGGAAUGAGGCAAAAAUGUGAUUCUUUGUUAAACUAAUUUGCAUAUGCCCACCCAGAAUCCUUUGCGGUAGUAACAUCACUGCAGGUUUAGGAUUUAUGUGGGAAAAGCAAAUCUGAUGGCUUGACUGGUGUGCAGAUUUUUGUUUAAC